RNAcentral lists this long non-coding RNA (1632 nucleotides) under Anolis carolinensis (green anole). RNAcentral describes it as "lncRNA (ENSACAG00000041846.1)". The record is from RNAcentral. Lineage: Eukaryota; Metazoa; Chordata; Lepidosauria; Squamata; Anolidae.
AAAAACAAUAAUCUGAGCACACACAGAAAUAAUUUUUCAUGACUCAAUUAAACACAGCUCAGACAAAAAUGUCUUGGAUUACAGAGCAAAUUUCAAGGGCAGAGGGCAGAACUACAGGGCAAAUGCAAACCCUGGAAACUCUCCCUCAUAACUCAUAAUUGUGGUGUAUGUCUUUUGUAUGUAAAAGAAGUUUGCAGAUCCAAGAUUUUUGCCUGAAGCAGGGACUUGUCUAGAUAAUGUGCUUUCUGAUUCUGAAAAUCUACAAAAGAAAAAUAUUUUUGUCCAGCCCUUCAAGGGCAUGUUUCUUCCCCCAAAAUGGUAUUCAGUGCUAGUAGUUUCUAAAUACGGAAGUGAGUGAUUUAAAAGUUAUUUUUAUCAUUGACUUGUGGGUGCUUAAAUCUUGCCUCUCACGGGGGAUAACCCUCCAGGGAUUGCCUAGAUAAUGCAAUCAAUGCAGUGGGCAACCCUUGAAAGGUAUGCACCUUGUAGGUUGGAGUCUGAUGAAGGAUUGUUGUCAGUGUGGUCUGUUAAGCACCUAGCUAGCAUGCACCACUAUUCAAUUUAAUUUUGGGCAUGAGUGAAUCAGAGAGCAAGCUUGAUGAAGGACUUUGGGUUUGUGGGUAUGUGUCAGGAUUUAACUGAACAGUCUGCUUCCUAAUGCCCUCCGUAUGGGACCUUUUAAUGAUAUUCAGUGAUAAAUAUGGAUGCCACCUAAUUCCAAAAGUAUAGAGAACUCAAAGGUGAAGUAUAAGGUAACUGCCUCAUACAACUGCCUUUCUUUGGAUGGAUAGAAUUCACUAGAUGGAUAGAAACUCAGAAAGGCUUGAAAAUGUUGCCUCGGUCUCGGAUGUUUCCUGCAUCCAGGCCCAACAUGGUUUGGGUGUUACUGAAGUUGCCAGUGGCAUAAAUGAUAAAAGUUUUUGUUUCCUGAGUCUUUUCUCUAUGUGUCUCUGCAUUUCUUUUCAACUUCAAUCUUUUUCAGUGGGUGAGUGGAUUUUUUUAUUGUGUCAGAAGCGACUUGAGAACAUAUUUCAAGUUGCUUCUGGUGUGAGAGAAUUGGCCAUCUACAGAGAUGUUGCCAGGGGAUGCCCAGAUGUAUUACCAUCCUUGGGGGAGGCUUUUCUCAUGUCCCCGCAAGCUAGAGCUGACAGAUGGGAGCUCACCCCAUCUUGCAGAUACGAACCAGCAACCUUCAGGGGGCAUUUUCCAUACUUCAAGGCAUGUUACAGAAUGAAACUAGGAGCAUGGGAAGCUGCCAUCUUGAUGGGCUGAGAGGCUUGUGAAUGUGAGGUGCCCAUCUCUGACAGAAGGGAAUGAUGUGCCAAAGCUCCCUUUGGUCUCACGUGAACCUGAUGGGCCUUUUGUGCAGCUCUUUCUCAAGUCCAUUGACUGUAGCUCUGUCUUUGUCAGCUUGUCAAGCAGAGGUCAAGAAAUGGGUGGAGGAAUUGCUCUUAGGCCUUGGCGGCAUGGGGUGCAAGAUACACGCAGGCAUCCCCCACGCAUUGGGUUACAGUGCUAGCAGCAAAAAGAUUUGGCAAUACAUAGAGAUCGCCCUGAGGUUUCUGCCCUCUGCUCUUCUUCUGCCUUUAUUCUUCAUGCGCUUUUUAUAUGGGGAGUCUUUUAAGCCUUGCU